CAUCCACUAGAAGUUCAUUCUCUUUCGCCACACUCAUGAAACAUCUUGUGGGAGCACAUUAUCAGCUAGAAUAAAGUGUUUAAAAUGCCGCCUAAGAAAGGGCAGCAGCCCAACAAGAAAACUGAACAGAAGAAGAAAGACAAAAUUAUUGAGGAUAAAACAUUUGGUUUAAAAAACAAGAAAGGAUCAAAGAACCAGAAGUAUAUUCAGACUGUAACAAAACAAGUUCAAUAUGGAAACCAAAAAGCCUCAAGGGUGGAUGAAUUACAACAGAACAAAAACAAGAAGGAAGAAAAGAAGAAAGAACAGGAAGAAUUAAACAAGUUGUUUAAGCCUGUAACUGCAGCACAAAAAGUUGCCAAAGGUGUUGAUCCAAAGUCUGUCUUGUGUGCAUUCUUCAAGCAAGGGCAGUGUAAGAAAGGUGAUAAGUGCAAGUUUUCCCAUGAUAUAACAAUACAAAGAAAAGCAGAGAAGAGAAGUAUGUACGAGGAUGAAAGGGAUGAGAAAGAAAAAGAUACUAUGGACAAUUGGGAUGAUGAAAAAUUAAAGGAUGUUGUCAAUCAAAAGCAUGGUGAAGCAGAGACUAAAACACCUAAAACAGAUAAAGUUUGCAAGUUCUUCCUUCAAGCUAUUGAGGAUUGCAAGUAUGGAUGGUUUUGGAUCUGUCCAAAUGGUGGUGACAAGUGUAUGUAUAAACACGCACUUCCACAAGGAUUUGUGCUCAAGAAAAAUAAAAAGACAGAAGAUGAUGAUGAUGAGGAGAAGAUAUCUCUGGAGGAGCUGAUUGAGGAAGAGCGGGCCAAACUUGCUUCUUCCAAUCUUACCAAACUCACAUUGGAAAGUUUUACUGCUUGGAAGAAAAGGAAGAUAGCUGAGAAAAAGAGGAAUUUUGAGGAAAAGAUGACAAAGAAAAAGAAUGACUUCAAGCAAGGAAAAGCUCUUGGGCUUAGUGGAAGAGAGGUCUUUGAGUUCAAGCCAGAAUUAGCUGAUGCAGAUGACGAGGGAGCAGAUGAUACCAAAUAUGAAAGGGAAGUAGAAGAUGAGGAAGAAGUGGACACUGGUCCAGUAAAAGAAAUCACAUUAGAAGCAAUGGGUAGCUUGGCAACAGAAGUAGACAACACUGGUACUAUUUCAAGUGGUUCUCAACGUGAAGGACCAGUUAGUGCUACAAUGGAAAAUAGUUUACCUGGUGCAAGUCAAAUGGAAGAUGAAUCGUCAAAGCUAGGAAUGGCCGGAGCAUUGCCUUCAGAUGCAACUCAAGUUAAUGGUGUACCAAUUGAUGAGGGAGUAUUCGCUGGUGAAGAUGUGCCCGUUGAUGAAGAUUUAUUCACAAAUGAACUUGACGAUUUAGAUGACGAAUUAGAUGGGAUAGAUUUGGACGAUUGAUGUGAAAGUACGGGAUGGGUUGUGGCAUUGGAAUAAACAUGUAAAGUGGAAAGUGACACAUGUCGAAAUGAGAAAUUUUUUAAUAAAUAUUUAAAUAUCAUUUAUUGAUUGUAAUACAUCAUGAAUAAAGUGUUGUUGCUAUUACAUCCAUCACUGUGCCCGUAAUAAAGGGACAGAUUUUCAUAAUUUGGCAUUUACUUUAAAUCUAAUACAAAACACAUAACGUGUUGCAUGUCAACAUAAAUUUUGUUUGGCUAGUGCAUAUAUUUGUCUAUUAACCUGGUGGUAACUAUUUUAUUGUGUGUUAACUUCUUGCUUGAUGUAUAAGUUACCAGAAAAAUACUGAAAUACUGCACUCAAUGAAAAAAAAAAUUGUCAAAUAUAUUAUAUACACCCAAAAACCUGCUUUGUUAUGUGUGAAGAUAAUUUUAUUUCUUAGGAAAAGUAUGAAAUAAAUACCCAAACGUCACAAAAAAA
This 1863-nucleotide unclassified non-coding RNA is filed under the name Anneissia japonica. RNAcentral describes it as "zinc finger CCCH domain-containing protein 15-like, transcript variant X1". The record is from RNAcentral. Lineage: Eukaryota; Metazoa; Echinodermata; Crinoidea; Comatulida; Comatulidae.